Ahaetulla prasina is the source of this 1439-nucleotide long non-coding RNA. RefSeq lists it as uncharacterized. Lineage: Eukaryota; Metazoa; Chordata; Lepidosauria; Squamata; Colubridae. The transcript has 2 exons. The record is from RefSeq and is a predicted model, not a curated record.
CACCACCCCGUUUAUCCCACCUUUAUCCCUAUAAAUGAAGCUUCCGAAGAUCUGAAUCGCCUUUCCUCCUUGGAGGUCAAGGCGGUGGACGCAAUAUUCAGGCGUAGGUUGUGCAGUCUGCUUGCACGACUCCUUGGGGGCGGCGUGCGUUUCACGCAGCACAACAGUUGUCUCUUGGCGUAUGGGGUAAACCUAGGCAACCCAGAAGGAUACCAAGGCCAUGGUACUGAAGGCUUGCCAAGAAUUCUAGCAGAAAAGUUAAGGUUAUUUUCCUAGUAUAAAUCAUCCAUGAACACAACCAGUGCAUUUCUCUUCCCAUGCCUGGGUUUGAACUGUGUUUGAAAUGGUUUCAAUGUUUCUUCCAUAACCUUUUGCAGCUCACCUCAAAAACUUCCUCUAAAAGGGGAAGUUAGAGCCCAGGUUAAUGAUGCUCUGAAAUUGCUAGGUCCAGGACCACAUUCAAGGGCUGAAACAUUUCCCCCUCCUAUAAAGAGCUGUUCAUUGCAGCAUAGACCCUUUUCCUUCCCUGACCCUUAAACCAGUCAGAUGGGACAGAGAACCAGCUACCAGAUGGCAGAGUUCAUUACGCAAAGGAUUCUAUGCAUUGGGAUACACAGCCCUCCCGCCCCCCCCAACAUCAUGAGACGUUACGUUCUGAACUAUCCUGCUAGCUUCCGACUCCAAAUAAAUAUAGUUUUAUCUGUAAAACACCCAGAUAAAAGGCUACAGCUAAUUUUUCUUAGCUGCCCGUCCUUGACCAAUUGGGAUUUGAUCACUUUUAAAAGGGCUGUGGAACAGAAUUCUGCAAAUGCAAUAACAACAACAGAGAAGCAAUGUCAUUUCACAACUUUUAUUGCCAAAAUCAUGUCCAAUCAGGUUCACUCACUUUUUUUUACCAAAUCUCACUCCAGGUAUCUCCUCUUGCAUUUUAUCUCCCAGAGUUCCUUAAUAAACCAAGACCAUCACCACUCCGAAAUCAGUGUACAGCAGCCACUAAGGGUACCUUUAUGUUCCAGUAUCAACCAGGUACCCAACAGAAUUAUGCUCCGGAUACUCCCCAAGCUUUCUCCAUGGUUCCUGGGACAGACCAUUCACAUAAUUUAUCUUCUGCAGGAUGGUGGUGGCAUUGUUUAAUGCCAUGGUCACUGUGAUUAGUUUAUGUCUCCACUAUCAGAUAACAUCUGAGCUGCUCCAAGAUGGACACCAGUUUGAAUGUAUGACUGCCCCGUCUGAAGGCCUGGAGUGACUUGGACUAACACUAUAAUAGCUAUGGUAUCCAUGAAAUCCCAAGGAUAAAGGAAGAUUGAAACUUCCGAACAUAUUGAUCUUGGGCAUACUAACCACUAAUUCUGGAGUGACAUUGACCAGCUUGGGCAAGGAUGCUGCUGUAGCACCAACAGAUGGUCUGUAGGAUCCAAAAACACAUAAAAGGCCUCAGG